AGUGAACGCUGGCGGUAGGCCUAACACAUGCAAGUCGAACGGCAGCACAGUAAGAGCUUGCUCUUACGGGUGGCGAGUGGCGGACGGGUGAGGAAUACAUCGGAAUCUACUUUUUCGUGGGGAUAACGUAGGGAAACUUACGCUAAUACCGCAUACGACCUACGGGUGAAAGCAGGGGAUCUUCUGACCUUGCGCGAUUGAAUGAGCCGAUGUCGGAUUAGCUAGUUGGCGGGGUAAAGGCCCACCAAGGCGACGAUCCGUAGCUGGUCUGAGAGGAUGAUCAGCCACACUGGAACUGAGACACGGUCCAGACUCCUACGGGAGGCAGCAGUGGGGAAUAUUGGACAAUGGGGGAAAGCCUGAUCCAGCCAUACCGCGUGGGUGAAGAAGGCCUUCGGGUUGUAAAGCCCUUUUGUUGGGAAAGAAAAGCAGCAGGUUAAUACCCCGCUGUUCUGACGGUACCCAAAGAAUAAGCACCGGCUAACUUCGUG
Molecule: ribosomal RNA, 491 nt
Filed under: uncultured bacterium
Lineage: Bacteria
Description: partial 16S ribosomal RNA
Rfam family: Bacterial small subunit ribosomal RNA
Source: RNAcentral